GAAAGAUGAAAAGAACUUUGAAAAGAGAGUUAAACAGUACGUGAAAUUGUUGAAAGGGAAACGAUUAAAGCCAGUCGUACCGGCGGGUAAUCAGCCUUUUGGGUGUGAUUAUGUGGAACGUGAGGAGUUUAAUCGCCUUCAUGCCUGCAUAUUCGUGCACUUUGGGUGUACUUGCUCGUGUGGUAGGUUAACAUCAAUUUCGAUCAUCAUAAAAUGAUUGGGGGAAUGUAGCUUCGAUCUCGUGUUGAAGUGUUAUA
Molecule: ribosomal RNA, 257 nt
Filed under: uncultured Rhizophagus
Lineage: Eukaryota; Fungi; Glomeromycota; Glomeromycetes; Glomerales; Glomeraceae
Description: partial large subunit ribosomal RNA
Rfam family: Eukaryotic large subunit ribosomal RNA
Source: RNAcentral